Molecule: long non-coding RNA, 1077 nt
Organism: Bos taurus (domestic cattle)
Lineage: Eukaryota; Metazoa; Chordata; Mammalia; Artiodactyla; Bovidae
Source: Ensembl
UUUAAAUGAUCUGCAAACAAAUGUAAAAACAUUUAUGUUUUUGAAGGCAUUAUUCAUGAACCCUGUAACAUCAGGUAGAGAACGCACACUAAAACUUAUUUUUUUGUAGAAAAAAAUUUUUUGUCCCAGCCUUGCUGUAUUAUUUAUUUUAGAAGGAAUUGGGGAAUUAAUCGGGAAAUCUGUUUGAUUAGAAGGGAAUUCUUCAUUUUGAGAGAUUUCCCAAUGCUCUUAAGAGCGUACAGCUUCUUAGUCAAGACUAGGAGGAGAAAACCGGUUUAGGAUUUUGCAGGGUUACCUCAUCUAAUCCUUCUGAAUUCACUCUGGGAAUAAUGCUGUUUUAUUUAGAAAAAAAAAUACAUUUAGAGAAAUCGGGGGUUUCCUCUCUAUGAGCCAAAUCUGGAUUGCCAUUCAAACUUUUCCUGGCUGCUUUCCAUGCGGGACAGUAGAUCAAUAAAGCCAAGUCCAGCCUGGCUUGCUACAGGUUUCACCAGUCAGUGCUUGCAAAACCUUUGUCAUUUUCUAAAAAUAAAAAAGCUAAAAGUUAUUGUAGAAGAAGGGGCUUUUUUUUGUCCUCUGCACAAUGUGUCUUUUGUGAGGUUAAUGCCAUUCUGGGCUCUCGAUAGCCCUGGACAAUGGGAACUCUCCAGGAGUCUGCAAAGACUCUGGCUUUCUUCUUGCUUGAUUUUUUUUCUAAAGGGAAGGAUGAAACAUUCCUACAGUCCAAACACAACUUCUACUUUGAUUAAAUAAAUAUUUAUCUUUAUUGUAGCCAUUGUAUAUUUUUACCUUCAGUUUGUCCAGUUUCUGAUUAUUAUUUUAAAUUUUUCAUUGGCAACAGUUAAUCUUUUUUUUUUCCCUUUCAGUCCAAAGUGCAGGUCAGUGUAAAAUGUAGCUGACUGAAGGAAGACUGGUAAAUUCUGAAUUUUUCCAUUAUACAUCAGGUGCAACUAAACCCAACUGCUCACCUCGGCUCCAUCCUAUCCAAGUCAAGGCCUCAGUCACAUAUCCUCAAAUUUGUCUCACAGGGGUCCCUGCUCUCAAAGGAUCAAGGAAGACGGAGGGGGAAGGGAUGAUGAG